Molecule: long non-coding RNA, 456 nt
Organism: Passer domesticus (house sparrow)
Lineage: Eukaryota; Metazoa; Chordata; Aves; Passeriformes; Passeridae
Exons: 3
Source: RefSeq, a predicted model, not a curated record
UUGGAGAAGGCCUGAAUCAUCUGAAACUGAAAUCAAACCAGCGUUUUUGAGAAAUUUCCCAGAAGAUUUCAGUGAACUUUGAAUCAUUCCCUCAAAUGCCUCAUAAGUCAAACAAAACAGAGAAUUACAUCUUAGAAAAGUUACAAGAUAAGGUUCUCCUGCCUGUGAGAGAGGUUCCACCUUGUGUUUUCAUGGUAUGGGAAGAAAAGAAGACUGACAGUUUCACAAGACAUGUCGGUUCAUUGCAUCGUGUUCCUCUUUGAUUCAAGUCCUCCAAAGCAGUAACUAUCAUUCUCUUUUCACAGCAAAGUGUGCACUUUUCCAACACUGGUAAUUCCUAACCUGGAGACCAGUGAUUAGUGUGUACCCCACUGGCAUUUGUCUAUACAUCAGGCAAGGAAAUAAGAGUGUAAUCCAAAAUUAAUCAAUGAAAUGAAAAAGGGUCUGAAGCUACUG